GGGUGGUGGUGGGGGUGGUGGGGGUGAUUGCAGUGACAAUCGCCCAGGACGAAAAAGAAAUGAGAAUCCAAUAACAAACAUAAAUAGCACAAAAACAGAAUUACUAGUAAUUGUACAAAUACACGCCGAAAUUUCCCUUAGCAAAACCGAACGAAACUUACCAAGUGUGGAUAGAGAAGUUCACGAGGAUCAAUUCACCGCUCAGGAUACGCAGCCCUCAAAAUAACCCGCUGUUACACCAAAGUACAAGGACUGCACAUUACUCACGCCACCCGACCCGCAUUGAAGCUAGACAUUGUAACUUCCUCAUACCUGAAAGGAGGGUAGUAAACAGAUCCGAAGAGCAUCUGACAGGGACACGCACAAUGAUGAAAAGACAGGCUAAGGGUGCAAUAAACGAGCCAUUAGUGCAACGAGUAAAGAUAAAAAAAAACAACAACAACGAAUUAACAGCUAACAACACAUACCUGAAACCAGAGCAUCAAUGAAUAUGUGCAGGAAAGAGAGGGUAAACAACCAUACAUCCUCGCAGUUGGCCGAACCCAGAAGACGAUUGAUACCUUCUACAUCGCCGUUGACCAACAGCUCAUCGUCUGCCAAACCACCAGCUCAUUGGGUGCUUUUGAUGAACUGUUUAAAUCCCACUAUGUGUUCAACUUGUCUUAUGAUGAGUCCCUGGUCCAUUUCUACACUUUUCUGCAGACAACUGUCUACAACAUUGAUGUUACCACAACAGAUGAAUCUCCCAAGAGUUUGUGAGUUGUGGGCAAAACCUUUGAAUGACAUAUGAAUAUGUUCAAAUGUUUCAUUUGUCAAGCAGUGCAUGCUACCAGCCAUGGCCUAAUAACUCAUUUGCUAAUUGGCCACAGUUUCUAUCCAGGCACCAAGUUUAAGUUAGUUUGUGCACAAGAUCAUUGUAGGUGUCAGUUUUCAACAUUUUCAGGUUUAAAAAACCAUUUAGUUAGUGUGCAUGAUAAGGGUUAUUGUCAAAGUGGUAAUGCAGAAACCUCAGAGUCAUUUCAGGCUGAUUUUCACAGUUUCCGAAAUAGUACAGAAGUUACAGGAGAAUAUACACACACACACACUUAUAAGAUUAUUUUAAACAAUACACAUAGAUUGUGAUGACCACAAAGCCAACACAUGCAAGAGACCAGGACUGGGAGAUGUGUUAAAACACAUCUUUAUUAUUUAUUCUAGAAUUCCUGAUAUGAAAUGGAAUGCUGGAGUAAAUAAAACCAAAGAAACGGAUAAUAAGCCAAUGUACUGACAGAGAGAAUUGAUGUAAUUCCAAAGCGAUGUAAUUCCUGAUGUAAUUAAAAAGCGAGUUGAGUUUUUAUGCAAAA
Molecule: long non-coding RNA, 1343 nt
Organism: Tachysurus fulvidraco (yellow catfish)
Lineage: Eukaryota; Metazoa; Chordata; Actinopteri; Siluriformes; Bagridae
Exons: 2
Source: RefSeq, a predicted model, not a curated record